RNAcentral lists this non-coding RNA (32 nucleotides) under Prorocentrum micans. RNAcentral also lists the same sequence under 1 other name. Lineage: Eukaryota; Dinophyceae; Prorocentrales; Prorocentraceae. The record is from RNAcentral.
UUUUUUUUUUUUUUUUUUUUUUUUUUUUUUUC